AGAUUGAACGCUGGCGGCAUGCCUAACACAUGCAAGUCGAACGGGAGUAGCAAUACUCUAGUGGCGGACGGGUGAGGAAUACGUAGGAAUUUGCCCUUAAGUGGGGGAUAACCCGGGGAAACCCGGAUUAAUACCGCAUGACCUCGAAAGAGCAAAGUGGGGGAUCGCAAGACCUCACGCUUUUGGAGAAGCCUACGUCGGAUUAGCUAGUUGGUGAGGUAAUGGCUCACCAAGGCGACGAUCCGUAACUGGUCUGAGAGGAUGAUCAGUCACACCGGAACUGAGACACGGUCCGGACUCCUACGGGAGGCAGCAGUGGGGAAUAUUGGACAAUGGGCGCAAGCCUGAUCCAGCAAUGCCGCGUGUGUGAAGAAGGCCUUCGGCUGUAAAGCUAACGUUUAAGUUAGGGAAGAAAAACUACGACUCUAACAGAGUGAGUCUUGACGUUACCGACGA
RNAcentral lists this ribosomal RNA (456 nucleotides) under uncultured soil bacterium. RNAcentral describes it as "bacterial SSU rRNA". It matches the Rfam family "Bacterial small subunit ribosomal RNA", at positions 26 to 485 of the family's 1533-position model. The record is from RNAcentral.